Molecule: ribosomal RNA, 440 nt
Filed under: uncultured bacterium
Lineage: Bacteria
Description: partial 16S ribosomal RNA
Rfam family: Bacterial small subunit ribosomal RNA
Source: RNAcentral
CCUACGGGAUGCAGCAGUGGGGAAUAUUGCACAAUGGGGGAAACCCUGAUGCAGCGACGCCGCGUGAGUGAAGAAGUAUUUCGGUACGUAAAGCUCUAUCAGCAGGGAAGAAAAUGACGGUACCUGACUAAGAAGCCCCGGCUAACUACGUGCCAGCAGCCGCGGUAAUACGUAGGGGGCAAGCGUUAUCCGGAUUUACUGGGUGUAAAGGGAGCGUAGACGGCAGCGCAAGUCUGGAGUGAAAUCCCAUGGCUUAACCAUGGAACUGCUUUGGAAACUGUGCAGCUAGAGUGCAGGAGAGGUAAGCGGAAUUCCUAGUGUAGCGGUGAAAUGCGUAGAUAUUAGGAGGAACACCAGUGGCGAAGGCGGCUUACUGGACUGUAACUGACGUUGAGGCUCGAAAGCGUGGGGAGCAAACAGGAUUAGAUACCCGGGUAGUC